GAAAUGCGAUAAGUAAUGUGAAUUGCAGAAUUCAGUGAAUCAUCGAAUCUUUGAACGCACAUUGCGCCCGCCAGUAUUCUGGCGGGCAUGCCUGUCCGAGCGUCAUUUCAACCAUCAAGCCCCCGGGCUUGUGUUGGGGACCUGCGGCUGCCCGCAGGCCCUGAAAACCAGUGGCGGGCUCGCUGUCACACCGAGCGUAGUAGCAAUCACCUCGCUCAGGGUGUGCUGCGGGUUCCGGUCGUUAAACAGCCUUACAAAACCCAAGGUUGACCUCGGAUCAGGUAGGAAGACCCGCUGAACUUAAGC
RNAcentral lists this unclassified non-coding RNA (306 nucleotides) under plant metagenome. RNAcentral describes it as "partial contains 5.8S ribosomal RNA, internal transcribed spacer 2, and large subunit ribosomal RNA". The stretch from base 1 to 105 matches the Rfam family "5.8S ribosomal RNA", at positions 50 to 154 of the family's 154-position model. The record is from RNAcentral.